AGAACGAACGCUGGCGGCAUGCCUAAUACAUGCAAGUCGAACGAACUCUUCGGAGUUAGUGGCGCACGGGUGCGUAACGCGUGGGAAUCUGCCCUUGGUUCGGAAUAACAGUUGGAAACGACUGCUAAUACCGGAUGAUGACGAAAGUCCAAAGAUUUAUCGCCAAGGGAUGAGCCCGCGUAGGAUUAGCUAGUUGGUGAGGUAAAGGCUCACCAAGGCGACGAUCCUUAGCUGGUCUGAGAGGAUGAUCAGCCACACUGGGACUGAGACACGGCCCAGACUCCGUACGGGAGGCAG
RNAcentral lists this ribosomal RNA (297 nucleotides) under uncultured soil bacterium. RNAcentral describes it as "partial 16S ribosomal RNA". It matches the Rfam family "Bacterial small subunit ribosomal RNA", at positions 26 to 351 of the family's 1533-position model. The record is from RNAcentral.